CAAUUUAAACAACGAAGAGUUUGAUCCUGGCUCAGGAUGAACGCUAGCGACAGGCUUAACACAUGCAAGUCGAGGGGCAGCGGGGGUAGCAAUACCCGCCGGCGACCGGCGCACGGGUGAGUAACGCGUAUGCAACUUACCUAUCAGAGGGGGAUAACCCGGCGAAAGUCGGACUAAUACCGCAUGAAGCAGGGGCCCCGCAUGGGGAU
RNAcentral lists this ribosomal RNA (209 nucleotides) under Parabacteroides sp. AM27-42. RNAcentral describes it as "partial 16S ribosomal RNA". It matches the Rfam family "Bacterial small subunit ribosomal RNA", at positions 1 to 197 of the family's 1533-position model. Lineage: Bacteria; Pseudomonadati; Bacteroidota; Bacteroidia; Bacteroidales; Tannerellaceae. The record is from RNAcentral.